CUCAACACCAGAUGCAAUGCAACAAAGUAAUUAAUGCUCAGAACUCAGAGCUGGGUAUGAAUCAAGGAUCCUUUACUUAGUAGUUAACUAGAAGACUGGGACUAGUUAAUUUCUCCAGUGCUCAGCUUCUUAUCUACAGGUAUCUGCUGAAUCCUCCAAGGGGAACAGAAUAAGGGGAAGAUCCCUGGAGAUCAGAUUCUCAGAUCCAGUAUCCCGUGUGCUGACCUGCCAUGACAAACACUGGCAGGGAGCCUGCCAUAGAGGAAAAGAGUAAGAAUUGGCUGAGUUCACAUAUGGGCUCCAUCAAUAACUAGCGGCCAGGUGAGAUUAGCUGCCCAGGUGAUGCAAAUCCUGCUGGUUCAUAACCACACUGAAUAGAAUCUAAGUACACUUCCUGAAGAAAAACAGUAUCAUAGGAACCAUUUCAAGUAUCAUCACUGUGCCAUCUUUGGGAAGAAUGAGAAAAUAGCCACUGCAAUAAUUUUCUGGAGGGCUAUUUUUUCCUAUGGGACACUGAUGGAGGAAGACCACAGCCCAUUGACUAGAAAAAGGCCUGGAAUGGAGUUCACGCCCUCAGAGCUCGUGCAGGAGCCAUCUAUGAACUACAAGCACAUUGACUCCGUAUCCUCACAUGAGCCCUGGGAGGCAGCCACUGUUAAUAUCCUCAUUUUAUGGAUGAGGAAACUGUUGCCCUGUUAAAGCUUAAUCAGCUUUAUUAUUUGCUUCCCAUCACUGCUGUCACAACUUGCCACAAACUCACUGAUGUCACACAACACAAAGUUAUUAUCUUAUGGUUUGGGAGGUCAGAUGUCCAAAGUUGGUCUCCUUGGGCUAAAAUCAAGGUGUCAGUGAGGUUGGUUCCUUCUGAAA
This 870-nucleotide long non-coding RNA is filed under the name Homo sapiens (human). RNAcentral's name for it is "HSALNT0387020". The record is from RNAcentral. Lineage: Eukaryota; Metazoa; Chordata; Mammalia; Primates; Hominidae.